CAGCAUGAUGGGGACACUUCCUGAUGAGGUCCUUUAAUCUUUCCCAGGACUCAUGGAACUACUCACCAUCAUGCUGUGAGAAGCUAGUGAGAGCUUGCCUUAUCUG
Small nucleolar RNA from Cephalotus follicularis, 106 nucleotides. It matches the Rfam family "Plant small nucleolar RNA R71". Rfam says of the family: R71 is a member of the C/D box family of snoRNAs containing the C (UGAUGA) and D (CUGA) box motifs. Multiple nearly identical copies of this snoRNA have been identified in Arabidopsis, and it is thought to function as a 2'-O-ribose methylation guide for 18S ribosomal RNA. The record is from Rfam. Lineage: Eukaryota; Viridiplantae; Streptophyta; Magnoliopsida; Oxalidales; Cephalotaceae.